CCUGGCUCAGGAUGAACGCUAGCUACAGGCUUAACACAUGCAAGUCGAGGGGCAUCAUGAAGUUUGCUUGCAAACUUGAUGGCGACCGGCGCACGGGUGAGUAACGCGUAUCCAACCUGGCCCGCAGUAGGGAACAGCCCGGCGAAAGUCGGAUUAAUGCCCUAUGUCUUCCUUUGCAGGCAUCCAAUGAGGAAGAAAGAUUUAUCGCUGCGGGAUGGGGAUGCGUCUGAUUAGCUUGUCGGCGGGGUAACGGCCCACCGAGGCGACGAUCAGUAGGGGUUCUGAGAGGAAGGUCCCCCACACUGGUACUGAGACACGGACCAGACUCCUACGGGAGGCAGCAGUGAGGAAUAUUGGUCAAUGGGCGAGAGCCUGAACCAGCCAAGUAGCGUGCAGGAACCGACUGCCCUAUGGGUUGUAAACUGCUUUUAUGCGGGGAUAAACUUCAGCACGUGUGCUGUUUUGCAGGUACCGCAUGAAUAAGGACCGGCUAAUUCCGUGCCAGCAGCGGC
This 512-nucleotide ribosomal RNA is filed under the name uncultured bacterium. Its description in RNAcentral is "bacterial SSU rRNA". It matches the Rfam family "Bacterial small subunit ribosomal RNA", at positions 18 to 518 of the family's 1533-position model. The record is from RNAcentral.